This 862-nucleotide long non-coding RNA is filed under the name Physcomitrium patens. RNAcentral describes it as "long non-coding RNA (PPAT_LNC001874)". Lineage: Eukaryota; Viridiplantae; Streptophyta; Bryopsida; Funariales; Funariaceae. The record is from RNAcentral.
AACAAUGCUCUAAUUAAACUAUAAUAAUGGUAAACAAACGUAAUCAAAUUCAACACAAUUCAAAGAAAUUUUAAACAAACAAUAAAAUUCUUAAAAAAAUAUUAGAAUGAAUACAAAUAUUAAUCAAAUAUAUGUCAAUUCAACCUUAAUUUAAUUCUAGUUAAAACCCUAUUGAAUUUCACUCAAACUUUAGAUCAAACCUAAUUAAAUCUUAAAACCUAAUAAAUCCUAAAUCCUAAGUCAAAUCCUAAACAAACCUUAAAUUAAAUCCUAAAUAAAAUCCUAUUUCAAAUCCUAAAUCCUAAACCAAACCCUAAAUCAAAUCCUAAACCAAACCCUAAAUCCUAAAUCAAAUCCUAAAUCAAAUCCUAAAUCAAACCGAAUAACUUAAUCCAAACUCUAAUCCAAUCCUAAACCCUAAUCCAAAUCCUAAAUCCAAAAUCCAAAUCCUAAACCAAAUAUUAAAUCAAAUCCUAAUCCAAACUCUAAAUAAAAUCUUAACCAAAUCCUAAAUCCUAAUCCAAAUCCUAAUCCAAAUCCUAAAUCAAACCCUAACCAAAUCCUAAUCCAAAUCCUAAUAAUUCCUAUGACAGAUUUAAAUCUCAGUAUCUAAUGAAUAAACUGUUGAUCUCAAUUCAAAAUUUGCAUACUUCUUAAAAAUCAAGUUUAAAACAAGCACAAAAAAAUUGGAAGGAUCAAAGUUACCAAAUUGAUGAAAACUUCAAAAAUGUGUUUGGGUGUUAGCUAGCCUCCUUCUAUAAUCUUGAUGCCAACCUUCCAGAGCCAAUUUCUCUUCUUUACGCCAUUCGAUUGGUUUUAAAUUUCUCAUGGACAUAGAAAAACAAGUCUUAUACCCUCUCAU